This is a long non-coding RNA of Dreissena polymorpha, 6105 nucleotides long. RefSeq lists it as uncharacterized. NCBI's taxonomy places the organism in Eukaryota, Metazoa, Mollusca, Bivalvia, Myida, Dreissenidae. The transcript has 6 exons. The record is from RefSeq and is a predicted model, not a curated record.
ACGUGUUUUUCGAAGCUCUCGACGUCGUACUCAGUAUAAAUUGAACUGGGCUGGCAAAGAACGCUCAGUUGCGACUUUGAAAUUGACCGUUACGGACGUGUUUUUUAUGCGCUCUUUUUUUUACAUUGACUUAAUCUUAGUUCAAUGAAAGACUUUGACAAAGACGGACGUACUUUCGUGAGCUCUGACUAUUGAUGAAAAGUUUUGAGUUUAACUGACUUGUACUUUGAGAGUUAAAUUGACUUCGCGUUAUAGAAUAGCGACUUGGUACUCGGGUUAUGGAAUUACUGGUGGACUGCAGUGUUAGGGUAUUGUCAUGAGAUGACGGCUUGACUUUUACUUGCGUUGUGAAAUGAAAUCAUGCUCUCAUGCGAUGAUAACUUUUGAACGUUUAGUACUGACUGACAACGAACUUUUGUGAGCGUUAUAUAUGAAAGGUUUGACUUACAUUAAUUUUUUUGAACGACUUGACUUCACUUUAAGUUUUGACAUCGGACUGAUCGGACGUGUUUUUUUAAGCCCUGACUGUUGUGAAUAAUUAAAUUUAUGUUGUGGUGUCAAGCGAUUGACUGUCAGUUGAGGUUCAGAUGUCGAGCUGUGCGGACGUGUUCAUCGAGCUGCUGUCUACAAAAAACGUGAGUACAAAUUUUUUUCGUUUUACUGUUUACAAGUUGCGUGAUGAUGUAUGAUGGUUGUAAUGUGUUGGGUAGAAAUUACUCAGUGCUGAUACAGUGUCGAUAUGUUGUGAUGAGCGAUAAUAGUGGAUGAUGGUGGAACAGAAUAUGCAUUGAGCUAUUUUGAGGAAGCGAACAUAUGAUGGAAAAAUGUUGCAAAAAUAUUAAAUGACAAUGUAUUGAAUCGCUUUUGUUGAUAUGUAUGAUAUUGAUUAAAUUGUAUUUGCAUGCUGUAACAUUUCUAUUUCAUUUCAGGGGGCUGUGGUGAGUAUUGUAGUAUAAAUUUGUUUCAAUAAAUCAUGAUGAAUGAAAACUGAUUUCGAUUCGUUUUGUACAGGUUUACUUGUAUAGAAGUGUAAUGCGUUGGGUAGAAAUUACUCAGUACUGAUAUAGUGUCGAUAUGUUGUGAUUAGCGAUGAUGGUGUAUGAUGGUGGAACAGAAUAUGAGCUUCUUUGGGGAAACGAACAUAUGAUUGAAAAAAAUUUGCAAACAUAGUAGAUAAAUGAUAUGAUAUUGCUUAAAUUGUAUUUGCAUGCUGUAACAUUUCUAUUUCAUUUCAGGGUGCUGUGGUGAGUACUGUAGAUUGUAGUGCAUAUGUAUAGAAUUCAAUAAAAGAUUAUGACUGAAAACUGCUUUUGAUUCUUAUUGUACAGUUUUAGGGAUUAUAAGUCUAUAGCAACUCUGUCGGUUGGUGUUCAUGAGUGUGAGCUUAAUACAGCAAUGUUUGAGUAGUACAAAAAUGUUUUCGCUUUUGUGGUCGCCAGCUGUCCGUGAUCUGUAAAGUGAAAAUACACAGAGCUAUGAAGCAUACAAAUGUUUCGAAAUUUUAUCAAUGAUUGUAUACUAUGCAUGUUUUGAUUUAGUUCGUUUCAGAUUUGACAUGAGAUGAAAACCUGACAUGAUUUGAACAGAGCUGGGAAACGAAAAGGUAAGUCUGUUUCAUUCCACUAUGAACACUUGUAUUUUGACAAAAGAAGAGAUAAAGUGAGUUACUUUAUCAUCAUGGUUUCAUUUGGUGUAUAACACAUGAACAGAGGUAAACCUAGCUAGCUUUUCGUGUACUCUAUUUUGGAUGAUGAUUAUGUCAGUAACUUUAAUUGUACGGCUAGUAAAGUAUGAACAUGAAUGCUUUGUUCAGAUUUUCAGAUGUGUUCAAGUCUGGCAGCUGGAGUGAACAGUUGUGUUUUCUGGAGCUCCAACAAUAUGCUAGAAGGUAAGUAACUAUGUUUGUUUUGCAUUGCAUGUUUUUAUAUGUUUCAGACUUUCAAGCAGAGAUGUCAUGCUGACUGGAGUUGAGCACAGGGCAGUGACAAAUUGAAAGGUAAGUACUUUUGACUGAAUGUUUGUUCUAUGCAUGUUUUGUUUUAAUACAUUUCAGGAGUGCUUAUCCAGUGAUGAUAUGACAGUUGGAGUGAACAGUGGAGCCAAGCAGUCUUGUUUUUGGAGCUACUCAACAAGCCUUGAAGAUGCUGAUGGCAGUGAUGGGUUUUCAAGCUGACCUGAACAGAAAAGCACUCAUAUGGUAAGUACAAAAUAGUUGUUAUAUGGGAUGUUUUGUGCAUGCUUCUAUGUUUCAGGUGUACUUGCUGACAGCGACGAAGACGAUACGAUAAGAGGAACAUUGUUGAGAAUGUGAUUGGGACUUGCAAACAGGGUAAGUGUAACAAUUGUGUUUGUUUAAUUUGUAACAUGCGUGCUUUGCUCUGUUUCAGAUUUCACAUGCAGAAAUUAAACAGGAUCUCAACUGCUGAAACACAAUUCAUCAAAAGUAAGGUAAGUUUUAAUUCAUUGAUUUGAAUUGUACAAUGUGUUCUUUACUUUAUUUCAGAUUCGAGUCACUGGUUUACACAUGGAAGAAGAUUUCCACGUCUGUUACUCAACUCUACAGAAGCAAGGUAAGUCGAUCAAUUUUUUGUUUUAAUUUGUACUGCUGUAAUGUGAUGGUAAACUUAUGCUAUUUUUUAUGUGUGUCAUGUACAGAUGGAUAAUUCAAGUUUGAUCUGUGUUGGUUUAUGUUCAAAAACGUUUUACAUGUAUGUGUGUUUCCAGAUGUUUUGUUUCAGUUGAUGUCCAGAUGGCAAGCAGAACAGACGUGUUUCUUGGAUCUGCCAAACAGUGAGUACAAACGUUUUAUAUUUUUCAGUUGUGUACUCAUAGAAGUCUGUGAAAGAUGAUAGCAAGGGUAGAAUCUAUCAGUACUUGUGUCUAAAAAUGCUGAUGUGUGACGGUUUACUGAAAAGGGUAAAUGCUAGCCAGUACUUACACUUGAGCAACCGUGGGAUGUCGAACUAACUGAUGAUGUACUAUGAUGGUGAACACUUACUAUGUGUAUCAAAAUGCUUUUGUUGAUAUUUACUAUAGAUGAUUUGAUAUUGGUUAACAUUUGUUUGCAUGCUGUUAACAUUUCUAUUUCAUUUCAGGGAGCUGUGGUGAGUAUUGUAGUAUACAUUUGUUUCAAUAAACCAUGAUUAAUGAAAACUGAUUUCGAUUCUUUUUUACAGUUUUAGGGAUUAUCACUCUAUAACAACUCUGUCGGUUGGUGUUCGUGAAUGUGAGCUUAAUGUUUGAGUAGUACAAAAAUGUCUUUACUUUUGUGAUCGCCAGUUGUCUGUGAUUUAAAGUGAAAAAUACACAGAGCUAUGAAGCAUACACUUGUUUCAAUAUUUUAUCAAUGAUUCAUCAAUGAUAGUGUGCUAUGCAUGUUUUGAUUUAGUUCGUUUCAGGUAUGACAUGACAUGAAGAGUUGACAGUCGAACAGAGCUGAGCAACGCAGAAAGGUAAGUGUGUUUCAUUUUAGUAUGAACACUUGUAUUUUGUUUUUAUAUGGUAUGUUUUGUGCAUGCUAUGUUUCAGGUGUACUUGUAGUCAGCGACGAAGACGAUUCAAGAAGAGGAACAUUGCUGAGAAAGUGAAUGGGACAUGCAAACAGGGUAAGUGUUACAAUUGUUGGUUUGAUUUUUACCAUGCAUACUUUGCUUUACUCUGUUUCAGAUUUCACAUGCAGAAAUGGUCUCAUAGCAGUGCCAACAGUGAAUAAGGAUUUCAUCUGCUGUGAAACAACUCAACAGAAAGUAGGUAAGCAUUGAAUGAAUGCACUUGAGCUGUACAAUUUGAUGUGAUGCUUUUCUCUGUUUCAGAUUCAAGUUCCUGGUGUAGACAGAGAAAUGUGUUUGAAGAAGGAAUUCUACUACUGUGAUUCAACUCUACAGAAGCAAGGUAAGUAGAAACAAAAUUUUGGUUUAAUUUAACUCAUGUGUUUUGCACUGCAUGCUAUUUUUCAGGUCUCUCAUGCAGUGAGGGAAAAGAAGAAGAUUUCAAGAAAAAAUCACUGCUGCAACUCAGGCCGAUAACAAGGUAAGCGUUUACUAUAUUGUAUACAAAAUGUUUUUCUGUUUUACUCUGUUUCAGGUUUCAAUUGCAGAGAUGUUGCAGAGAUGAUUUGACAGCUUGUGACAGAAAAGAAAUUCAGCAGCUGUGUCUCGACUCUAGCCACGAGAUUGGAAUGGUGGGUCGUUACAGAGCAGACUUUUGGACAACUGAGAAGUUGAGAAACAGAGAAUGAUUCAAGAUCAGCUAGGUAAGUCUUGAUUAUUAUGCAUUGCUAAAUGUUUUUUUCAUUCCAGUAUGGCUGUGGUAAGUACACAAACUUUCUAUAAUUUAAUAUUGAACUGUUUUUAUGACCUGUAUUCUGCAUUGUAAAAUGUCUGUUUUUCAUUUCAGUAUCCUGUGGUAAGUACACUAACUUUGUAUAAUUUCAUAUUGAAAUGUUUUGAUGACUUGUAUCCUGCUAUGCAAUGCUUAAUAUAUUUUUCAUUUCAGUGUGGCUGUGGUAAGUACAAUUGCCUUCUUUAAUUUUCAUAUUGAACUGUUUUGAUGACUUGUAUCCUGCUAUGCAAUGCUUAAUAUAUUUUUCAUUUCAGUGUGGCUGUGGUAAGUACAAUUGCCUUCUUUAAUUUUCAUAUUGAACUGUUUUGAUGAUUUGUAUACUGCUAUGCAAUGCUUAUUGUUUUUUACAUUUCAGUGUGGCUGUGGUAAGUACACUAACUUUCUUUAAUUUUCAUAUUGAACUGUUUUGAUGACUUGUAUUCUGCUAUACAAAAUGUGUUUUUUUCAUUUCAGUUGCCUGUGGUAAGUACACUAACUUUCUUUAAUUUUCAUAUUGAACUGUUUUGAUGACUUGUAUACUGCAUUGUAAAAUGUGUUUCUUUUUCAUUUCAGUAUGGCUGUGGUAAGUACACAAACUUUCUAUAAUUUCAUAUUGAACUGUUUUGAUGACUUGUAUUCUACUAUGCAAUGCUUAAUGUAUUUUUUCAGUAGCCUGUUGGUAAGUACAAUUGCCUUCUUUAAUUUUCAUAUUGAACUGUUUUGAUGAUGUGUAUACUGCUAUGCAAUGCUUAAUGUUUUUUUCAUUUCAGUAUGGCUGUGGUAAGUACACAUACUUUCUAUAAUUUCAUAUUGAACUGUUUUGAUGACUUGUAUACUGCUAUGCAAAAUGUCUGUUUUUCAUUUCAGUAGCCUGUGGUAAGUACACUAACUUUCUUUAAUUUUCAUAUUGAACUGUUUUGAUGACUUGUAUUCUGCUAUACAAAAUGUGCUUUUUUCAAUUUCAGGUCAGCAAUGGUAAGUAUAGUGUGUUUCUUUAUGUAUAAUUUUGUAUACAUAUUGUUUUUUUCAUCAUAGCAUGUCUUUUAUAUUUAUGCUUUGUGUAAGUAAAAUGUUCAUAAAUCAUUCUUAUCUUCAAACUAAAAAUGUAUUGUGCUAUGCAAAAUGUCUGUAUGAUUUCAGUUGCCAGAGGUGAGUACCAUUACAGUUGAAAAGUUAGUUUUGUUUAGUUAAAGUUUUGGUUCACAGUUCUGUUUGUUAUUUGGCAAAAUUUACAUGUAUGCAUUGAGUCUUGAUUUCAGCUAGAUUGUGGACUGAAGAAGAUUGCCAGCAGAGGGAUUGGAUACAAGAUACAAACUUUACUGCUGGACGAGUGUUCUCUACUACUAGACGUGUCAGGUUUACUACCAGGCGAGCAGUGACAACAAGGCGCCUUUGUGGAAACAACACAACAAAAAACUGUACUGCUAGACGAGCAGUGACAGAAAGGCGCCUGAACAUGCAACACAAAACAAAAAAUGCCAAUAUACAAACCUUGAUGUGGACACCGAGUAGUCAAUACAUACGUGUGGCGUACAGCUGCGACAAAACCGUGGGUCCAUCGCACCGAUAACUCGAAUAUUGGCCCGCGUAUGGACAUCAGUGCAACUUUGUGAAUCCAUGUAACUUUGUGAAUCCAUGUAACAUUGCGAAUAUGUGUCGAUCGAAAAAUGUGUACAUUCUGCACUGAAACGAACUCGGUGUUGCAAGUGGCAAGUGUUGACAGUGUGUAUGUUUAUGUUUAUGUUUUUACAUGAAAAAUAAAGGAGAUUGUUCUCCUACCUUUUU